UAACCUCUCACUCGUAUGGCAGUUGCAUCGAAUUCCAUUAUAUGGACAACGACUUGUGAACAAGAUAAACAGACAUUAUAGGUUAAAAUGACAAAAAUAUUGGUACAGCAGUCAGAUUUAUGUUAUAAUCUAAAUCACUAUAAAAAUGUAACAAAGAAGCAUAAAAAUGUAACAAAGAAGCACAAAAAGGCAUACAGACAAAACACAUUAGCAAAAAUGAAAAAAGAAUACAAUAAUUUAUAAUAGCACAAUUACACAAUGACGGGAUGUAUAAGCACAGAACCACGUUGUAUGUCCCAAAAGAAACACAAACAAGUCAUAAUAACAAAGCACAUUAGCAAAAAUGAAAGACAAGAAUAACAAAAAUUAUCAUAGAAAAAUAACACAAUGACGGGAUGUAUACAGAGUCACGUCAAAUGGAUAUCAACAAAACCAGACUAAACAGUAAAAGUAGUAUUCAUAACGACUACUAUAGCACGUUAUUAAGAUGAUAAACAACGCC
RNAcentral lists this long non-coding RNA (502 nucleotides) under Mytilus galloprovincialis (Mediterranean mussel). Lineage: Eukaryota; Metazoa; Mollusca; Bivalvia; Mytilida; Mytilidae. The record is from RNAcentral.